RNAcentral lists this unclassified non-coding RNA (246 nucleotides) under Hevea brasiliensis (rubber tree). The record is from RNAcentral. Lineage: Eukaryota; Viridiplantae; Streptophyta; Magnoliopsida; Malpighiales; Euphorbiaceae.
AUCGAAUCUCCUCCCAAUCUCUCUGAUACCAACGUAGCAAGUUGUGUUCGAAGGGCAUCCAGUUCUCGGCGAAGAAUCUACGCGAUCUUCUUUUUGUGUCUUUCACGAGAUUCACUUCCAUCUUCUACUGCUUUCGCUUUCUUACCAUUUCCGCUGCUAUAUAUUCUCUUUCCCACCUUCAUUUAUAACCGAGCAAGCAACGAGGCAGGGCAAACAUAGCUACUAUGGCUGCUAGGAAUUUGGAGA